Molecule: ribosomal RNA, 680 nt
Filed under: uncultured archaeon
Lineage: Archaea
Description: bacterial SSU rRNA
Rfam family: Archaeal small subunit ribosomal RNA
Source: RNAcentral
GUUGAACGCUUCCAGCCACGUGGAGGCGUAGCGUACGGCUCAGUAGCACAUGGCUAAUCUACCCUUGGGAGAGUGAUAACCCCGGGAAACUGGGGCUAAACGCCCAUAGACGAGCAACCCUGGAACGGGUGUUCAUUUAAAGAUGCAGGGGCAUGCCUCUGCGUCGCCCAAGGAUGAGGCUGUGUUCCAUCAGGUAGUUGGCGAGGUAACGGCUCGCCAAGCCGAUAACGGAUGCGGGCAGUAAGAGCUGGAGCCCGGAGAUGGGCACUGAGACAAGGGCCCAGGCCCUACGGGGCGCACCAGGCGAGAAACCUCAGCAAUGCGGGAAACCGUGACUGGGCCAUCCCGAGUGCCAGCCGCUAAGGUUGGCUUUUGCCCAGAGCAGCAAUCUGGGAGAAUAAGCGGGGGGCAAGACUGGUGUCAGCCGCCGCGGUAAUACCAGCUCCGCGAGUGGUCGGGACGAUUAUUGAGCCUAAAGCGCUCGUAGCCUGCUCGGCUAGUCCUGUGAUAAAUCCGACGGCUUAACCGUCGGGCUACAUGGGAUACUGUCGGGCUAGGGAGCGGAAGAGGCCAGGGGUACUCCCAGGGUAGGGGCGAAAUCCUAUAAUCCCGGGAGGACGACCAGUGGCGAAGGCGCCUGGCUAGGACGCGUCCGACGGUGAGGGGCGAAAGCUGGGGGA